Molecule: long non-coding RNA, 2759 nt
Filed under: Pan troglodytes (chimpanzee)
Lineage: Eukaryota; Metazoa; Chordata; Mammalia; Primates; Hominidae
Description: long non-coding RNA NONPTRT008760
Source: RNAcentral
AAGCCUUGCAGCAGCUACAAGAAGAAUUGCAGAAUAAGAGCCAACAGCUUCGUGCCUGGGAGGCUGAAAAAUACAAUGAGAUUCGAACCCAGGAACAAAACAUCCAGCACCUAAACCAUAGUCUGAGUCACAAGGAGCAGUUGCUUCAGGAAUUUCGGGAGCUCCUACGGUAUCGAGAUAACUCAGACAAAACCCUUGAAGCAAAUGAAACGUUGCUUGAGAAACUUCGCCAGCGAAUACAUGAUAAAGCUGUUGCUCUGGAGAGCACUCCCAGGAGAUGGAAAGCCUGAGGGAGGCUCUGCUGUCCUCUCGAUCCCACCUUCAAGAGCUGGAAGAGGAGCUGGAGCACCAGAAGGUGGAAAGGCAGCAGCUUUUGGAAGACUUGAGGGAGAAGCAGUAAGAGGUCUUGCGUUUAAGGGAGGAACGUCUUUCCCUCCAGGAAAACGACUCCAGCUUACAGCCUGGAUGUCUGUCACCAAAUCCCUUUGAGCAGUGACCUGAACCACCUGGUGGCAGAGGUAUGAGCUCUGAGAGGGCAGCUGGAGAAGAGCAUUCAGGGGAACAAUUGUCUGUGACUGCAGCUGCAACAGCAGCUGGAUAGCCUGCUGGCAAAGCCAGCCUCAGCCCCUCCUCUGUUAACCAGAACUUCCCAGCCAGCGCUGACCCUGGAAACAAGCAGCUGCUCCUCCAAGAUUCAGCUGUGUCCCCUCCAGUCCGGGAUGUUGGUAUGAAUUCCCCAGCUCUGGUCCUCCCCAGCUCUGCUUCCUCUACUCCUGGCUCAGAAACGGCCAUAAUCAACAGAACACAUGGUGCUAGGCAGCAAAGGCAUUCAUGAGCUUCGGAGCAGCACCAGUGCCCUGCACCAUGCCCUAGAGGAGUCGGCUUCCCUCCUCACCAUGUUCUGGAGAGCGGCCCUGCCAAGCACCCACAUCCCUGUGCUGCCUGGCAAAGUGGGAGAAUCAACAGAAACGGAACUUCUGGAACUGAGAACCAAAGUAUCCAAACAGGAGCGGCUCCUUCAGAGCACAGCUGAGCGUCUGAAGACCGCCAACCAACAGAAGGAGAGCAUGGAGCAGUUCAUCGUCAGCCAGCUAACCAGAACACAUGAUGUUUUAAAGAAGGCAAGGACUAACUUAGAGGUAAGGAAACUACUGCACCAGUCAGAGGCACCAAGCCUGUCCCCCACCCAUCACCAUCCGUUAGCAGAUAUUGUAGGCGACCCUUGGCCUGCUUUGGCCUUCCAGGAGAAGAUUUCCAGUCCACUUUCAAGAUCACAGGUCCUCAGUGAGCUUCCUGAUAGUUUCUGUUCCCAUCACCCUCCCACCCCGUCAGCUCCUGCCCCUGUAUCUUGGUUCACUCUCACAUUGUCAUCAUCUCUCCUUUUUACUCCAAUUUUUCUUCUUUGAUGCCAAGUUCGGAGACUGGAGAAUGCAAUUCAGCUCACUCUUGAAGUUGUUAGACAUUCAGGAGUCUGCCUCUGAAUGAGCUUUUGGUAGAGGGAUCUUGAGGCCAGUUAUGUGUUCUACUGUUCAUGAAAAAGUAAAAGCAGUUUGCAACCUAAUAAACUGAUUUCACUGCAUACUCCUGGGUUAAGAACAGCAAUUUGAUUUUGGUGUAUCUUUAAGUAACAUGUCAAAAGAGAUCUGUUGUGUCUCAUUGGUCUAAAAGAGAAUUUGUUAAUAAAUAACAACUGAACCUUGGGGGGUGGGGGCGGAAUGUUACAUAUGUACCAGACAUUAUCGACAUAAAACACUAAGUGUUAAUCAUUCCCUAGGAAGUGCUUUGAAGAAAAACUUGAGGUAUAUGAAAUGGUUUAAAAAUCAGAAACUAAACCUUUUAACGUGGACUUCAAAGCUUUGCCAUAAGCAAUUCAGCAUAUUCCUAGAAAUGUUUCUAAACCAUAACCUGAGAGAAUGUUGAUCUCCAUAGUGUAAAAAUGACUUGGGCCAGUUUAACUUGCUCUUUUUUUUAUUUUUUCACUAAUUCCCUUUUAUUUUUCUCUGAUAAUUCUUCUCUUUCCUGAGCCUCUUUAGAGCAGCACUUACAGGAUUGCCUGUGUAAAGCCUUAUUCCUGUCCCAGAAAAGGUAACCGAAAAAGUCUCUAGUAUCCUCUAAAAGGUAACCCAAAAGUCUCUAGUAUCCACUGGCUUUCUCCAGUGUGGAAGCUUUCCCCUCCACCUCCCAUAGAUCACUGGGAAGGACCUGAGGCCUCGGUUCUAAUCCCAGGCUUAUCACUAACUGCUGUGUGGCUUUGGCUUGUCCCUUAGUCUCUGUCAGACUGCUGCACCCUCAUCUGUCAAAGAUGGAACUGGACUUAGUUGAGCUCUGAGGUCCCUGUGGACUUGGCCCCUCCACACCCUCAUUAUGGCAACUGGACAUAAACUUAACAGAGGACUUCCCAGCAGAGUGUCCUCUUCUUCCUACAACAGGCUGUUUCUGUAUGUGCAUGUUUCAUGCUAAGCACUUCUUUCUUGGGUGGAGAUGGCAAAGGCCUCUUUCUGCUGAGACAAAGUGAUUUGGAGAGUCACCUGGCCCCUGAAGAGGGAGUGGUAGGAUCCAGCCACCCAGUGUGCAGUGAAUUGGAGCAGGGAUCUCAGCACACAGGGAGGUGGGGAGGCUCCCCCUAACCUCGGGCACCUGUUGCUCCUCCAGACUGCAGCGCAUGCUCUUAGCUCAUCCUCUUAACUGGCUCUCACCGUGCUCCUGGCUUUGGUCACCACGUAGCUCUCACUCCAGUUUCAGGUAGCCAUCAGUAGGGC